UAUUUGAUCCCUUGUCGGUAAAAGAUAUAAAGAAAGGAAAUGAAGAAAAUUGAUAUUCUUUACGAUAAAAAAGAAAGGUUUUGGUCAUACAUACAUACAUACAUACAUACAUACAUACAAGUAAGCGAGUAACCAGAGAUAUUUUACAGUACUUUUACUUCUUUACGACAAUACAAGAAGCUAAGCAAACCAAAACUCCCUUGCUAUCUUUUUCUCCCUUUUGCUUCAAUCCCACAAUCAAUUGUAUUACUCUUUCAUGGCUUCUUCUUCAUCUUCUUGUUCAAUGAAGCAUCAAGUUUUCUUGAGCUUCAGAGGUGAAGACACGCGCUUUAACUUCACCUCUCAUCUGCUCAAAGCUUUGAAAGACAGGGGACUGAAUGUCUUCUUCGAUGAAGAAAAACUAGAGAAAGGGGAGAAACUUUCACAUGCACUCUCUCAAGCAAUUGCUGCCUCAAAUCUCUUAAUCCUCGUUUUAUCUAAAGACUAUGCUUCUUCAAAAUCAUGCUUAGGUGAGCUUUCUGACAUCAUGGACCGUAAUCAUUCUGAAGGACAUAUUGUUAUUCCCAUCUUUUACCAUGUCGAUCCCUCCAAUGUGCGGAAUCUUGGUGGGAGUUUCAAAACAUCCUUUGAAGACCAUGAAUCAAAGAGGACCACAGAAACGAUGGAAAGAUGCCUUCGCUAAAGUCGGAACAUUAAAAGGAAUUCAUAUAGAAGACGAUAAGUAACUAUAUUUUUCUCAUCUUCUUAUAUUUGACUUAUCUUCGUUUUAGAUUUCAUAUAUAAUUAUAUAUAUGCUUUUUGAUUCUCUGCUAGAUCUGAAACCGAGUAUAUCCAGGAGAUUGUUGAUGAUGUUACAAGAAAAUUGAUGAAUAGUAUGCCUAGAAUCACUUCUGAAAAAUUGGUUGGAAUAGAUAAUCAAAAAAAGAUGCUUUUGGCGUUGAUUGAGCAAUCGGACAUCCGUGUAAUAGGACUUUGGGGAAUGGGUGGUAUUGGCAAAACUACCCUUGCUGAUGCUCUAUAUAAGGAAGUCUCUCCAAAGUUUGAAUGUCAUUUUUUUCUUCAGAAUGUUAGUGAGAAAAUAAAAAAACAGGGGAAUGAAUCUUUACGAAAUGAAUUUCUUUCCAAACUAUUAAAAGAAAAAGACAUUUGAAUUGAUACCCCUUCCAUAGGAUACCCUUACCAAGAGAGGUUGAACAAUAAAAGAGUACUUGUUGUCCUUGAUGAUAUUAGUGACCCAAACCAAAUAGAUUUUAUGGUUGUUAAACAUUUUGGUUCAGGAAGUAAAAUCAUUGUUACAUCUAGAGAUAGACAGGUACUUAAAAAUGGAAGAGCUGAUGAAAUACAUGAGGUAAAGAAGUUGAAUAAGAACGAUUCUCUUCAACUUUUUUCUGCAUUUGCAUUUAAGUUGUUGAAUCCUGUGGUUGGUUUCCGAAAUCUAUCAUGGAAGUUUGUAGAAUAUGCCCAAGGUAGUCCACUUGCUCUUAGAGUUUUAGGUGCUAAACUAUAUACAAAGUCUAGAAAAGAGUGGGAGAGCGAAGUGGAUAAUCUAAAGCAAUAUACCGAACCAGAAAUUUCACAGGUUUUGAAGAGUAGCAUAGAUGGGCUGCGUGAGCUAGAGAAGAAUAUAUUUCUUGACAUAGCAUGCUUCUUUAAAGGGGAGGACUGGGAUUUUGUAGAAAAAAUUCUUAGUAGUUGUUAUAUGGGUGCAGUGAGUGGAAUAAGAAACUUAGUCGACAAGUGCUUACUUGAUAGGAUAGACUGUUCUUUUAUUUCUAUGCAUGAUAUGCUUGAAGACAUUGGCAAGGAUAUUGUUCGCCAAGAAUGUAAAGAAGAUCCAGGAAAGCGCAGUAGGUUAUGGUUUCAUGAAGACAUGCAUGAAGUGCUCAAAUAUAAUAAAGUAAGCGCUAAUUGUAUUUAUUUAAUAAAAAAUUAUAUUUGAUAUCUUAUAAAUAUAUAAAUUCAAUUAAUUAUAUGUUCUCAUAUCUUAAAAAUAUAAUUGUUUGUAUUUACAUUGUAUGAAAUGUUAAUCAUUUUAAUUAUUAUUUCACAAAAUAAAAUAUUUAUUUACUCACCAUGCAAAUAAUGACAAGUGUCUUAGGAUAUGCAUGGGAUCUACUUAAGGGUUAUUUGGGUUUGUUAUUUAAUGCAUUGCCUUAAAAAACAAACAAAAUGAAAUUGAACACUUUUAGAUCUAUAUAUACUGAUACUUGAUAAAAUGUUUUUCAUGAUUAGGGGACUUUAUCAAUUUAAGGAAUAAAGUUAGACAUGUCUCAAAUUCAUAAGUUGCAGUUAUGUUCAUCUAUUUUUGAGAACAUGUUUAAUCUUAGAUUUAUUCACUUCUAUAAACCUGAUAUUUGGGGAGGCUAUUGGGAACCUUUGAAUCCUUGGAAUCCGAAGCUACUGGUAGACCAAGUUGAUAGUGUAUCUCUUCCUAGUAAGCUAAGGUAUCUUCAUUGGGAUUAUUUUCCUUUCAAAACUUUAUCAAGUUUUAAUCUAAAGAAUCUUGUCGUGUUGAUAUUACGAUGUGGCAACAUCGAACAACUUUGGAAUGAAGAUGAUCAUAUGGUAUGUGCUUUCAUACUUUCUUCAUUGAAGAAUUUUUUUAAGGAUUUAUAUUUAGAUGUAUCAAAUAAUCAUACGAUGACAUCUUAAUUAAAGUUUUUAAAAAUUAAAUAUAAAAUAUUUUAUUUAAAUAAGUGACAUCAUUUGAUCUAUUAAUUGUUGGUGAAUUUUUACGCUGGAUGCAUCAAAUAUAAAAUUUUAUUUUCUUAGUAUUAUAAAUAGUUAUUUUUUUUUAUAGGAGCUUGUUAAUUUAAGGAAAAUUGACGUUUCAAAUUGCAGUAAGUUAAGGAAGAUACCAAAUCUUUCAGGAGCCAUCAACCUUGAACUCCUUGAUUGCUCCAACUGUGAAAGUUUGGUUGAAGUUCCUUGCCUCAAUCAUUUGGCAUCUUUUAUCAGAAUAAGCUUCAAUUUAACGGAUAUUUUAGUCUCAAGAAGUUUCCUCAGGUCCCAAGUCACUUUUGAAAUUUGAAUCUAUCAUGGAAGAUUCAAUUGAGCAUCUCCGCAGACUUGAAGAAUUGUUUUUGGACAAGUCGAAGGUAAAAAAAAGUAUCGAUCGAUAUUUCAAAGUUGGAAUUCCUUCGUAAACAGGAUCUUAGGGAUCGCCCAUUGAUCAAAUUUCCAGAAAUCCCAAAAAGCUUAACAGAAAUAAACUUACCUGGCAGUCAAAUUGAAGAAGUGUCCUUGCCUUUCGACUCUUUUUGUAAUCUUCAGGACUUAAAUAUGAGUGGCUGCCCAAUGCCUAAAGUCCCGAGAAGCUUAACACAGUUAAACUUAUAUGAAACUCAAAUUGAAGAAGCCGUAUUGCCCUUCGACUCUUUAAGUAUUCAAAGGCUACAGUAUAAUAUUGCCCUGUUCGAUUCGAGAGAGUUUCCACUUUUCAACUGUUGAUGUGCCCUCACCAUGCUUGAGGUCUACAACCCCUAGGUAUAUGAGGACGGAUCGUUGCAAGAGCCUUAAAUUACUCUCAGAGCUUCCACCAUAUCUGCAAUACUUGAAUGUACAUGACUGCACAUCAUUAGAAAAAGUACCCUUUACAUAUUAAAAUUUAUACCAGUUUGAUUCGUUAGGUGAUGAAGGUGAAGAUGUGUUCUGCAUGCUAUUCUGUAAUUGCUUCAACUUGAAUCAAGAGUCAACUAAUAACAUUGAGGCAAAUGUCAUUAUCAAAGUUGGAUCUCUAGCUAAGAAAUGGGCAUCGAGGUAUGGUUGGGGAUACGACACUUUCAAUGUUCCAAGAGUGGUUUGUUGUUUCCCAGGAAACAAAAUUUCAGCAAAUAAUAAAGUGUCAGAGCAUGAAUUCUUCCUUAAGUUUGAAGUUAGCCCCAAAUGGGGGCAGUGGGAGCAGAUUUUUGGUUUUUGCUAUCUGCCUUAUGGUUGCUCUCACUCACUGCGCUUUCUUUGGAGGUCAUGAUUAUAUUUGUGAGUACCAACUUACAACCGCCAGUGAUGGCAAUGGUGGUGGUGGUUAUGAAAAGUUCAGAAGCAAGAUACAUUUCAUCGAUGUUUCUGAGCCAGAGAAGUGCAUGGGUGAUCACGUGUUUAUUCUAUCUAGCAUGGACAUGGUUAAAGAAGACAAGAAUUAUGAGGAGGCAACAUUUGAAUUCUACAUCAAAAUUGCGAUCUUGAAGACUUCGAAGGAGUUAAAGAAGAAGGAUACUAUAUCAAGGUGGCGAGAUGUGGUGUUCAUGUAUUUUACGUUGAUGCAAAGACUGAUACAGAUGCUACUGAAAAGGGGAAGGAAGACUUAAAAGAUUGAAAUAGUUUGUAUUUCUUUCCGUCUUUGGCUUUGCUUUUGAGGAGUUUCAACUUCUCAAUUAUGUCAUCCAAAUGCAUAGAUAUAGCAUAUAUUGUCCAAGAAGGGAAUUCUCCAUAUAUAUUAAUUAAUUUGGAGGAAAAUUGAACGGCAAGUGGAGAUUUCAAUACAGUAGCAGAAUGAUUCUGCUUUGGAGUUGACAAAAUAUCCAUAGGGGAUUUUGGACCAAUGGUGGACUUGAUUCAGCUUCAUUGUUUAGUUUCCAGCAUUAGUGUCCUCUGGCUAGGGAAUGACAGAUCAUUGAGAACACCUGAGCUGUAAGACCUUCAAUUUGUUUUACUGAAUUCAAAGUACUCUUUUGAGGCCCUUUCUGGUUCUGGCAAUUCAGUCUUGGUGGAGAAAAUUUGCUAGAGAUCUCAAAGCUUGUGGGCUGGACACAUGGAGGUGGAGGCAACUUUUGACAGUUUUCAUUCUCAAGCUAGAUUGGGAUCGGUGGUGGAUAUCAUUCAGCUUAAUUGUUUAGGUUCCACAAUUGGUGCUCAUGCCAUGGGCAUUGCAGAUUAUGGGUGGUUUUGAUAUCUUCUCUCUCACCAACAAAUGAAGUUCCCACAAAAUUACUGGUGUUAAGGGAAUAAAGAUGGCAAUGGUUGACGAAAGGAAAGCAGAUGAGGGAAUAAAUCACAGAUGUUUGUAACAAAGUUGCCUUGUUCAUCCCAUCCAGCUUUGCUUCAACGCUUUCUGGAUUUUGGCCAUUGAGAGGAAGCAUAUGAUCAUGGAAUUAGGCAGAGUUGCUCUUAUCUCAAAACAAGUUGGAUGAACACAUGGAACCUGGAUGUUAUUUUCAAUGCCAACCCUAUCACAGUUUUCAUUCUCAAGCUAGAUUGAUGAGCUUUUAUGUUUUCCCCAUAGAGGAACCCAACAUAAACACUUGGAAGGAAAAAAUCCAAAUGAUUUUGGUAUAGUUGGAACUUCAAAGUGCAGAGCUGGUUUCAUGGUAAAGCCAUUUGACUUGAUUGUUAUAUCAGUUUGGGCUAAAACUUGAAUCAAUUUUCCCCUUUUGUAAUUAAAAUUCCAGAAUUUUAUUCUGUUUUGGAAUUGAAAGGAUGCAACAUUGGAAUUGGUUUGUAGAUUCGUUUUUAUGAGAUGGUGUCCAACAAGUUCAAGAUUUGUAGCUUAGUAAUUAAAAUAACUUUCUGUAACACUAAACUAUGAUCUACUAUAAGAAAAAACACAAAUUUUAUA
This is a long non-coding RNA of Gossypium arboreum, 5554 nucleotides long. RefSeq lists it as uncharacterized. The record is from RefSeq and is a predicted model, not a curated record. NCBI's taxonomy places the organism in Eukaryota, Viridiplantae, Streptophyta, Magnoliopsida, Malvales, Malvaceae. The transcript has 10 exons.